Molecule: ribosomal RNA, 616 nt
Filed under: Lachancea fermentati
Lineage: Eukaryota; Fungi; Ascomycota; Saccharomycetes; Saccharomycetales; Saccharomycetaceae
Description: partial small subunit ribosomal RNA
Rfam family: Bacterial small subunit ribosomal RNA (bases 153-616)
Source: RNAcentral
CGAAAGAUUGACCCAGUUACUUAUUAGGAUGAUAUAUAUUUCCCCACGGAUAAAACAUUGCUUUGCAAUGUUUUAUCCGUGGGUAUAAAAAUUUUUAUAAUUUCUAUAAUAAUUAUAUAAAUUGAUUAAAAAUAAAAUCCAUAAAUAGUGAAAAUAAUGAUAUUAACUACCAUAAUAUAAUAUUAUGGAUAUUUAGCAUAAUAUAUUGUUAAAUAUUUUAAUAGUCCUAACCAAAAUUUGUGCCAGCAGCUGCGGUAAGACAAUGGGGGCUAGCAUUAAUCAUAAUGGCUUAAAGGGUCCGUAGAAUGAAUAAUAAAAAAAUUUAGAGUUAAUAAAUUUAAUUAAAGAAUUAUAAUAGUAAGGAUGAAAUGAUAAUAAUCAUUAUAAGACUGGUAUGUGUGAAGGUAUUAAUUAAAUAUUAACUGACAUUGAGGGACGAAAGCUAGAGUAGCAAUACGGAUUCGAUACCCGAGUAGUUCUAGCUGUAAACAAUGAACACCAUUUAUUCUCAAAAUGAGAAUAAAUAAAUGAAAAUGAAAGUGUUCCGCCUGAAGAGUACGUUCGCAAGAAUGAAACUCAAGACAAUAGACGGUUACAGACUUAAGCAGUGGAGCAU